RNAcentral lists this long non-coding RNA (1147 nucleotides) under Anas platyrhynchos platyrhynchos (common mallard). RNAcentral's name for it is "lncRNA (ENSAPLG00000021262.1)". Lineage: Eukaryota; Metazoa; Chordata; Aves; Anseriformes; Anatidae. The record is from RNAcentral.
UGAAAUAAGCAGUGGCAUUAAUGUCAUUUGUGACAGAUACAUUCCUGAUUGAAGUGUGGUGCUGAUUUGUACUUUGAAGGGUAGUUUGAAAAAAGUUUGUGCACUUGUUUGCUGAGUUUUGUUAGUGUAACCCCUUUUUCACAAGGGAAGAUAAAUCCUCUCUCCUCCCACCAUUUGGGCUCAAUCAGACAUUUUUGUUUCUUUCUGCUUCAUUACAGCAACUGAUAUAGGCCAACUCUCCCUUUUUCCAAGGCAAGAUCUAUUUGGACAUCUAUACCUGAAAGGACAUCAAAGAGGAAGACUGUAGCCUUCUGGGGACAGGAGUUUUCCUUGCUAUGGAGAGAGAGAGAGAGAGAGACAGAGGCUUAUUAUCAGAGUUAUUACUAGAAGACCAGCUGAGGACACGGAGAGCAAAGACCUUGGGGUCCAGUCUUGUUUAUGCAACUUUAUGAAGGACAAAAUUCCUAAUCUUCAUGGAGCAAGAUACCUUUCCCAGAAUGCAUAUACACUUGAUUCUGGACAAGACAGAGAAGGUCAAGAAGAAAACAAUGUAAUGUGGAACUGCUUCGAUACUCCACUCUUUUGUCUCCGUGUGUGGUCCUGUAUUACAAAAUUCGGGCAGCGUGUUGCCCUAGUGGAUGAAAAGUGAGGUAAGAAGAUUGUUCUUGAUGAUCCUGAUGAUCCAUUCUUCCAUUCUCUCAUAAACUGACUUAUGGACAUAAUUUAAAAGUGAGUUGAAAUGAGAAAAGUACUAACUGCCAGAUCUCCCUAAAUGUAGUUAUAGGGCAUGUCAGCACGUAUACAUUAUGAAAGUUGCCUUACAAAAAUACUCAAUAUUUGCAAUUUAUAAGUGAGAACUUCUAUUAAACUAUUUAAAAGUAAUUUUCCAUUUGGACUUAAAAAGCUUAUACUACAUGGUGGCACUGGAGAUUUUCUAGUCUUUCAUGGUCCUAAUGAAGGCAUCCAUAAACCCAAAACACAUGUAAAUUGUGUCAGAUUACAUAAAUUUUUCAUGCAUCUGUUAGUAUUAAUGAUGCAACACACUAUUUAUUUCAUUUUUAAAUGAAUUUUCAGAAAGCCAAGAUAAAGAAGGCCACUAAUAUGAGGGUUUUGUUUCCUCUAAUAAAUCAUAGCGUUUGAUUUGUCA